Molecule: ribosomal RNA, 468 nt
Filed under: uncultured bacterium
Lineage: Bacteria
Description: partial 16S ribosomal RNA
Rfam family: Bacterial small subunit ribosomal RNA
Source: RNAcentral
GUCGAACGCUGGCGGCGUGCUUAACACAUGCAAGUCGAACGGAAAGGCCCUGCUUUUGUGGGGUGCUCGAGUGGCGAACGGGUGAGUAACACGUGAGUAACCUGCCCUUGACUUUGGGAUAACUUCAGGAAACUGGGGCUAAUACCGGAUAGGAGCUCCUGCUGCAUGGUGGGGGUUGGAAAGUUUCGGCGGUUGGGGAUGGACUCGCGGCUUAUCAGCUUGUUGGUGGGGUAGUGGCUUACCAAGGCUUUGACGGGUAGCCGGCCUGAGAGGGUGACCGGCCACAUUGGGACUGAGAUACGGCCCAGACUCCUACGGGAGGCAGAAGUGGGGAAUAUUGCACAAUGGGCGGAAGCCUGAUGCAGCAACGCCGCGUGCGGGAUGACGGCCUUCGGGUUGUAAACCGCUUUCGCCUGUGACGAAGCGUGAGUGACGGUAAUGGGUAAAGAAGCACCGGCUAACUACGUG